This 253-nucleotide ribosomal RNA is filed under the name uncultured bacterium. Its description in RNAcentral is "partial 16S ribosomal RNA". It matches the Rfam family "Bacterial small subunit ribosomal RNA", at positions 524 to 776 of the family's 1533-position model. The record is from RNAcentral.
UACGUAGGGUGCAAGCGUUAAUCGGAAUUACUGGGCGUAAAGCGUGCGCAGGCGGCUUUGCAAGACAGAUGUGAAAUCCCCGGGCUCAACCUGGGAACUGCAUUUGUGACUGCAUGGCUGGAGUGCGGCAGAGGGGGAUGGAAUUCCGCGUGUAGCAGUGAAAUGCGUAGAUAUGCGGAGGAACACCGAUGGCGAAGGCAAUCCCCUGGGCCUGCACUGACGCUCAGGCGCGAAAGCUAGGGGAGCGAACAGG